UGGGGGUGGGAGCUAUGGACUCCUCGGCAACCUUCGCUAUGGACAAACCCUUCGCCCCCAGCGCCGUGCGCGGUGCGGAGCCUCCCGAAAACCCUCAAAGCCGGAAAAACUUCAGCGUGAGCCAUCUCCUCGACCUGGAGGAGGUGGCGGCCGGCAUGAACGGGACCCCCCCGGCCGGUGCUCAGCCCGCCGGAGGAACCAGGGCGGCAGCGGAGCCGUCGGGAGGCAGCAGCGGCAGCGAAGCGGCGCCCCAGGACGGUGAGAGCUUGAGCCCAAGCUGCGGGACGGCCAAGAGGAAGAAGAAGCAGAGGAGGAACCGCACCACCUUCAACAGCAGCCAGCUGCAGGCUCUGGAGAGGGUCUUCGAGAGGACGCACUACCCUGACGCCUUCGUGCGGGAAGAGCUGGCAAGGAGGGUCAACCUCAGCGAGGCCAGAGUCCAGGUCUGGUUUCAGAACCGGAGAGCCAAGUUUCGCCGCAAUGAGAGGGCAAUGCUGGCCAACAGAUCAGCAUCGCUCCUCAAAUCCUACAGCCAGGAAGCAGCCAUUGAGCAGCCCAUGGCACCACGGCCCACUGCAUUGACCCCAGAAUAUCUCUCCUGGACCAGCACCUCCCCGUACAGCACUGUGCCCUCCUACAGCUCCAGUGGGACUGCGACGCCCACCCAAGGGGUGAACAUGGCCAACAGCAUCGCCAGCCUGCGCCUCAAAGCCAAAGAGUUCAGCCUUCAUCAGAACCAGGUGCCAACUGUGAACUGACCAGGGCAAAGCCUACUCCAUGGCCUCAUCCAGGAUACAGCGUGGAGCUCCUGCGCCCAUCCAGGACAAAUCCACUGCCCACCCAACCCAUAUGCCACUCAUCCAAUGUCUCAGCACCUCUCCUCUCCUCUUCCCUUUUGAAGGUAGAGUCGGUCCCAGGCCGAAGUGGCACAUAAUUAUAGCCACAUAUGGAGCAAACUUGGUUAGAACUUGCUUUUCCGUGCACCCUUAUAAUAAAGGCUAUAUAUACACACACAUACCCCCCACACACUCAUCGAGGACAAACAGACUUGCCAAGGGAACAAGAAUUUGCUUCCAAACAUGGAAGGAUCUUGGACCAGUGGAUUUGACCAAUUUGGGUAUCGCGCCCAGAGAGCCAAAGAGUUAUUGGGUCUCCUCCUCCCGCAGGGACAGCAUGCGAUGGUGGGAGGAUCAUGAACCCCCUUUCCGUUGGGCUGCGACUCGUGGCACUCAACCACGCAUACCGAAGCCAACCCACACAUUUGUUUCUUUGUGCAUCGCCAGCCAUGGCGCUUGGGAGAGACUUUGGGAAGCUGAUGGCUCGCCCCUGUAUGGGCAGUCCUCGGCUGCCCUCCCUGUACCACGCUGCCUGCAUUUAGGAAUUGCCUAUGUCAAUGGCGUCAGGUUUUGCUUCUUCCCAGAGGGGCGAGGAGGGCUGGAACAUCUCAACAGGCUUGCUUGGAGGCUGUGAGCUCUCCCAUGAGCCGGGGGGAGCAGUGCUGGUCCCCAAACAGGCACCGCUGCCCUGGCUCAGUGGGUUUGCCAGCAAUUCUGCAGAGCCCCAGGUCAUUGAACCAUCCCAGGGAAAGAGAAAAUUGGAAAAAGCUGUUGGGUUUCAGCUGAGUAGGCGGCUCCCAGUGCUUUGUGCCAACGGCAAAGCAGGCUUCGCCUUCCGGAGGCACAGCCUCCCCAUCGGCAGCUCCACAGAUGUGUGUGGGGAUCUGGGGCUGGCGACUCCAUAGGGGUGGGCUUUUUUGGUUUUGCAGAAAGGAAGUGGUUUCCCCCUCAUCCCACCCUGCCGUGCAGCCUAAUGAGGUUGCAAAGUGGAAUGUUCAGGGGAUGGAUGCAGGGCGGGCAAUCUUGCCUCAGGCUUACACCACGCCAGUCCUUCACCCAUGGGACUGAGCCGAAGAGAGACGCACCCUCCACCUUCCCCUGCUGAUACCGCGGCACGGGGAGAGGAGCCAGAACGAUGGAGGUUUUACCUGUGGACAAAGCCCUCUGAAAACCAGACCACCCUUUCCUACCUGCUGCAAAGGUCCACCAGCCAAGCAUGGGGACACCACCAGCUCAAGACAGGUGGCCUGGACAGGAGGCACCAGCCCUGUUUACCUAAAAGGGCUUAGCCCCGCCAGGGAUUGUAGUGGUCGAACCAAGGACAGAUACAGCAAUUGCUAAGGUGCUUCCUCCAGAUGAACACCCUCCAAUACAUGAUGCCAAGGGCUCUCACAGCAGCAGCG
This is an RNA transcript of Cuculus canorus (common cuckoo), 2239 nucleotides long. It is a transcript of the gene named paired related homeobox 2, with no coding region annotated. The transcript has 5 exons. The record is from RefSeq and is a predicted model, not a curated record. NCBI's taxonomy places the organism in Eukaryota, Metazoa, Chordata, Aves, Cuculiformes, Cuculidae.